This 1743-nucleotide ribosomal RNA is filed under the name Pseudomyrmex gracilis. RNAcentral describes it as "SSU rRNA". It matches the Rfam family "Eukaryotic small subunit ribosomal RNA", at positions 3 to 1614 of the family's 1831-position model. The record is from RNAcentral. Lineage: Eukaryota; Metazoa; Arthropoda; Insecta; Hymenoptera; Formicidae.
CCUAGUUGAUCCUGCCAGUAGUCAUAUGCUUGUCUCAAAGAUUAAGCCAUGCAUGUCUCCAGCCAGUGCAUGCCGAAUUAAAGUGAAACCGCGAAUGGCUCAUUAAAUCAAUUAUGGUUCAUUAGAUUGUACCCACAUUUACUUGGAUAACUGUGGUAAUUCUAGAGCUAAUACAUGCAANACAGAGUCCCAACCAGUGGUGGGAGAAACGCUUUUAUUAGAUUAAAACCAAUCGGUGGCGGACGAUCUCUUGCUGCUUGUUUACCGUUCAUUUGGGUACUUCUCAAUAACUUUGAGCUGAUCGCACGGUCCUAGCACCGGCGACGCAUCUUUCAAAUAUCUACCUUAUCAAUUGUCAAUGGCAGGUUCUGCGGCUACUAUGGUUGUAAAGAGUAACGGGGAAUCAGGGUUCGAUUCCAGAGAGGGAGACUGAGAAACGGCUACCACAUCCAAGGAAGGCAGCAGGCGCGCAAAAUACCUACUCCCGGCACGGGGAGGUAGUGACNAAAAUUAACAAUACGGGACUCAUCCAAGGCCCCGUAAUCGGAAUGAGUACACUUUAAAUCUUUUACCAAGAAUUCAUUGGAGAACAAGUCUUGUGCCAGCAGCCGCGGUAAUUCCAGCUCGAAUAGCGUAUAUUAAAGUUGUUGCGGUUAAAAAUCUUGUAGUUAAAUCUGUGUCGCACACCGUCGGUUCACCGCUCGCGGUGUCUAACUGGCGUAAUGUGAGACGUCCUACCGGUGGGCUCAGCUUCGAGAGAGAUGGCCCAAUUAAUAUCCCGUUGCGGUGUUCUUUACUGAAUGUCGAGUUGAGCCGGUACGUUUACUUUGAACGAAUUAGAGUGCGUAAAGCAGGCUAGCUUCGCUUGAAUACUGUGUGCAGAAAAUAAUGGAAUAGGACUUUGGUUCUAUUUUGUUGGUUUUGGGAACCCCGAAGUAAUGAUUAAUAGGAACAGAUAGGGGCAUUUGUAUUGCGACGUUAGAGGUGAAAUUUUUGGAUUGUCUUGAGACGGAAGCAAAAGCAUUUGCCAAAAAUGUUUUCAUUAAUCAAGAACAAAAGUUAGAGGUUCAAAGACGAUCAGAUAACACCCUAGUUCUAACCAUAAACGAUGCCAAUUAGCGAUCUGCCAAAGUUUCUCCGAUGACUCGGCGGGCUGCUUCCGGGAAACCAAAGUUUUGGAUUCCGGAGGAAGUAUGGUUGCAAAGCUGAAACUUAAAGAAAUUUACGGAAGGGCACCACCAGGAGCCUGCGGCUUAAUUUGACUCAACACGAGAGACCUCACCAGGCCCAGACACCGGAAAGAUUGACAGAUUGAUAGCUCUUUCUUGAUUCGGUGAGUGGUGGUGCAUGGCCGUUCUUUGGUGGAACGAUUUGUCUGGUUAAUUCCAAUAACAAACGAGACUUUAGCCUGCUAAAUAGGCGAUACCUUAUGGUAUCGCAAAGACUCCCGGUUUCGGCCGGCGGGUUUUUACUACCAACGUACAAACUAUUCUUCUUAGAGGGACAGGCGGCUUCUAGCCGCACAAGAUUGAGCAAUAACAAGUCUGUGAUGCCCUUAGAUGUUCUGGGCCGCACGCGCGCUACACUGAAGAAAUCAGCGUGUGUUCCCUGACCGAAAGACUCGAGUAACCCGCUGAACCUUCUUUGUGCUAAGGAUUGGGGCUUGCAAUUGUUCUUGUGCGGCGUAUAGUAAACUCGCGAUAAUCGCAGCAAAAUCCGGACAAUUCCGUCUGGCGCAUUCAG